GGCAUAUGGAGGUUCCCAGGCCAGAGCCACAGCAAUGUGGGAUCCAGCUGCGUCUGUGACCUACACCACAAUGUAUAUUGAUGGUUUUAUAGACCAUAACUUUUAAGUUAUAAUAUCAGCUUUUACAGAAUUAUUUAACCAUUGACUUCUGUGGAUCUGAAUUUAGAAGGAAUCUGAAACAAGUAUUUUUCUUUCAUGGAGACAAAAUAUAAAUUCAAAGAGAAUAAGAUAACAAAUGGGUGUUUUAGAGAUUCAUAACUGUGAAUUCAGUUUGUGUUUUAUGAGGUCUCUUAUAUAUGUAUUUAUUUGACAGAGAUUUUAUUCCUAACAGGUGUUAAAGAGCACUACUGAGCACCUCCAUAGAAUAUUUAAAUUUAUCUUCUACCACUUGCUUGCCUUUGCGUCUGUCAGUAACAGCAUUCUUACCUUCAUCUGGAGGAGAUGGUUUCAGGAGUUCAUCAGCAAGGUCAGAAGCAAUAGCCAUCUCUAAAAGAUCCAAUCAGGUCUGCAGUAGGAUCAGGGUGCAUUUUUGUUUACCCAUUUAAUCUUUAUUUUUCAAACGUGUUUUGAGUUUAUCACCUAUUUCAUAGUUGUAUAAUAUGGUUCAAAAGCUCUGGUUUUUCACACUGAAAAUUUUGAAACAUAAUAGUAUUGUGAUAUCUGUGCAAUAUUGUUUUGAAACAAGGGGACAGAUUCUUUUCCCAGGGUUAACAGGAACAUAUCCAUUUGGAUUUUUUUCUAUCACACUGAUUUUUAUAUUAAGCUGUUACCAUAUGCGGUUUCCACAUGGAAAAACCUAUGAACUACUGUUAAUAAUUGUUCAACACAUAUCCUGAACUUGUAUUGGAUAGUCAAAUAUCUUGAAAGUAAUUAGUUAAGUAUUUAGGACAUGGAUAGUUUCUGUAUUCUGCACAUUGUUUCUAAGCAGACUCUUUAGAUCAUCAAUUUAUCUAUUUCCUAUUAUCUAACUAUGUCAAGAGUAAGAAUGAAAUUUAUGUAAUUACAUAGUGUUUUUUAUAUAUAUACAGUUCUAUAUAUGGUCUCUCCAUGUAUACAUAUAUACAUAGAAAGAGACAGAGAUAAGUGAAAAAACAUUAAAAAAUAAAAAGCUGGAGUUCCCACAGUGGCGCAGUGGGAUUAACAGUGUCCCUGCAAUGCUGGGAUGCAGGUUUGAUCUUGGGCUUGGCACAGUGGAACCUGGCAUUGCUACAGCUGUGGCAAAGGUUGCAACUGUGGCUCAGAUCCGAUUACUGGCCCUGGAACUCCAUAUGCCACGGCAUGACCAAAUUAAAAAAAAAAAAUGAAAGCUUAUAGUAUGCUCUGUUUAGAUAGAAAGAUCUCUCUCUAUAUAUUGGUAGCUAUGUUGAUCUAUACCUAUAUUUCUAAAUCUAUUAUCUGCUUGUCUCCAUCUAUGUAAGAAAGAGGAUAGAGUAUAUGUUUUGUUUUUUACUUUUAAUAUCUUUUUUCAAUCAUGCUAAGAAAACAAAAACAUUGGUUUGGUUUUCCCCAAUGAGAUAACAAGAUUAAAAGAUUAUUGAGUCACAUUUUGUUUUUACUCUGCGGGAAAGUUUAGAUGUUCGGAUAGAUGUACACUAUUUCUAUUAAGGGUGAACUGUAAUGCAGAAAAUAAGGACUCUAAUUGGAUAUUUCAAGUCUUUUCAAAAUUUAUGGUGUUGAUCUGCCAGGAAGGUUAUACGUAUGUGGCCACCAUGCUAUAGCUUUUAUAAAGAUGCAGUUUGUCUCCAAACUAAAUUGUCAAUCAAGAUUAUAUCUUACAAGCCUCCAUAGACUUAGCAUAAAUUAUCUACAGAGUUAUUCCUAGAAUUCCUAAAGAUAUCCUUUGCCUUUGAAUAUUAUAUGAUGAAUUGUUACCUGUUUCUUAAUGUUUUUAGUUGUCUUACAGAUUUGUUAUCUGACUUAAAGAUAAAAAUUACUUAAAUAAAAAUUGUAAAGAUUUCAAAGAGGAUCAUUUCAAUAAUUAUCUUCAAAUCAUUAAAUCAUAGGAGCUCAAAACUGGAAAGAAAUAGCACCAAAUAUCUGACAAAACUUCCUACUUUUAAAGAUGACUGUGUAUACAUAUAUACAUGGAAAAGCCAUGACUUGGCUAAAAUCUCUCAAGUUUAGUCUUGUUCAUAACACAGACUAUCUUGCUGUAAUGCCACUGUUAUGAUGAAAAGUGUUUUUCUCGCAAUUAUGUAUUGGACUGAAAAAUGCCUACAGAACACAGGCAUACUACUAUUGGUGUUCUUGAUGGUGGUAGUGGUAUUGUUUUUUACUAUGAUUGUCAUUAUAUUAUUCUUAUCAAUAUCAUUGUUAUUAUUUUGUGAAUCCAGAUACUUAGAUAAUACUAGAAUGUGUGGUAGGAUUCAGGUUAAAAUAUCAAAUUUCAGGUCAAGAUAUCAACUUUGCCAUUAAUAAGCUACGUGACCCAGGCAAAUACUUGAAUCUUUAGGACAUCUCUUUUACAAAAACAGGCCAUGGUAAAAAGUUGAUAAUCUCUUGUAUUACAGGUUCUUAUAGUUCUACCAUAUAGAAGAAUCAUAAGAACCUAGGUAGAAUUUUAUAUAUAUGGUGAUGAAAAUAUCCCCAAUCUCCAUCAUUACGAGUAUUUGUAAUCUAAUACAGUGUCAGCUCUUUUAAACGCUUAGUAGUUUAGUGAUAUUUUCACGAGAAAAAAGAAAUAUCCAUAAUUUAUAAACAAAGUAAUUAAUAAGAAAAUUCAGCUUAACAAGGGAUACUUGGACAAAUAAUCUUAAUCACAAUGUGUUACAUUAGACCAAGACUGCAGGAACUCUGGCACUGUGAAGUACAAAAAUCAUGGACUUACUUAUUUCAUCUAUGAUGAAUAGGGUCUGCCCAUGGGCAAAGCACAUUUUACAUUUUAGAGAACUGAAUGGUUUUAGCUAUUCCAGAUGCACCAAGUGUAUUUGGUCAGGAAUAAAUUGUGGAUUCAGAGACAUCAUUCUGUUUUCAGACUUUCUAACUCUCCAAAGAGGUAUAGCAGUGAGAGCCUAUCAAGAUGGUUUCUUCUAUUCGAUGAUCAUAGUUCCUCAAAGGCAAAUAAAAUAGAUCCUGACCCAUAAUAUUUCAUUGGUCUCAAAAGCAUUCAAUUCUCAAAGGACACAGUAGGAUUCAUAGGACCAGCCAGUAAAAUUACCCAUAAAGACAGCACUGAAGAUUAUAGUAGAUAACCAACAAAAGACAAGAAUAAAGAUUUAGAAAAAGCCUAGAGGAGGGAAGUAACCUUUUAAUCAGUGUCUGAUGGAGCCUUGGAUUGCCUCUUGUUGUCUGUUGCUGACUGAUGAAAAGAAGAACUUACAUUCAGGAAAGGCUUAUAGACUGCAUAUUGUUUGAGUUUUAGAAAACAGAGCACUGAGUACUGAUAAGCUUUUCUACCUUCUGUUAGCUGUUUUGAGAAGGAAGGAAAGCCAAAUAUCUAUAAGUAUGAAUCUUGGCCCCAGAGAGUCAGCCCUAAAUCAGAAAACAAGAUAGUGCCAGCAUGCACGCAAUUCAGGAAAUUAAGCAUUCCAUUUACCCAUCGCUGAUUUAGCAUUUGAUUUUUAAAAAUUAAUGAAUGCAUUUUUCUAAAAAAAUUAAAAAAAAUAAUCUCUAGGAUGAGACCUUCCAAAGGGAAAUUUAUAAGUCUGAAAAUAGAUUCUCAGAAAGAAUAGGCCAGCUUUACCAUAAGAAUAAAAAUAAAAGUGUUAAAUAAAAAAGCUGUAUUCUGAAAAUAAAUAAAAUUUGAAAACCUUCAUGAGCCAAGUAUAGAGUUAGAGACUUAGCAUGAUGAUGAAAUAUCACAUAAAAAUGAUUGUACUUAUAAAUAAUUAGUUCCAUUUAGUAACUAGAUAAAAGACUAUGGGAUCAAAGUCAGCUAAAAAAAUUAUAGAUUUUAUUGAUGCUGAACUGGUGUUUAAGUUCUAAAUAUCUAUUAAUUGUAUAAUAGAUCCUUUCUUUCAUCCCAGAAAGUGUCUGAACCAAUGCUCUAGGAACAUUCCAAAUUCUAUCAGAGAAAGGAGUAGGUAAAAGACCGUGCACACAGCCUCUCUGCUCUUUUUAGAUCAUUAUGUAGCCAGCUGUUCCAUUGCAACCGAUUCUGUACUUUGAAUAGACUCACAACAUCUAUCAAAUCAGUGUUUACAUUUUCUUAAUAUUGUUAACUUAAGCAUUUUAUUGCCAUGCUCUGCAAACUGCCUGAGUGCACUAAAGAAAUCUGCUCAUGGGAAAGGUGGUUAAGCAAUAGGCAGACUACAUAAAAAGCCCAGCAUCUCUAGAGGUUAGCUGCAUGACACCUGGAAUGACACAAAGCCUCUGUUGCUUUUGUCCUCAGCCAACUGGGAAUCCCCUGUGGUCAGGAAAAUGUUGGUGAAAGCAAAUGCCCUUCCCUGCAAACAUCUGGAGCCCUGUGUCUGUGCAGCUUUAAAGAGAGGAAGACUGCAGAAUUGCUUAGAAUCCCAAUAAAGUGAUGAGAUGCAGAUUGCUGUUGUUUUCACACUUUUUUUUUUUUUUUUUUAAAUGCACACUGUGAAACAUGGCAUUCUUCCUUCCUAUUCAGGGCUUUGAACAGCAAAUGCCAGAAAUCAGAAGUUUUGUAACUAAUCCACUCUUGAGUUAUCCAACCACAAAAUUAUAUUUGAGCAAUUGCCUUGACAGCUAAAAUACAGAGCUUAUUUUUUCUCCUUGCUCAAAUAACUCAGAGACAGAAAAUCAGAUUAAAAAAAAAUCUACCGUUCCCUCUUUCUUGUGCCUAAUAAUAAUAGCAAUAAUAAUUUAAGCUCCAGCUAAGAUCUUUUAAUAUUUUCCACUUUAUCUCUUAUAAAGUACAAAAAAUAAGGAGAUAGACUAUCAACUAUGUCAUCUAUAUGAAAUUUGGAAAUCUGGCUGUUUGGGGUUGAAAUUUCUUGGUUUACCGUUAAGAUCUUUUUUCCUGUUAAGCUAGUGGAAUUCCAAAAUGCAGUCUCACUUUAGCGGCAUGAAUAUCAUUAUAUGUCCUUAACAAAAAUUAGAUACUUUAUGGGAAAAAACCAGCAUAAUAUGUAUCUAGGUAAAAAUUGGCACUAUAUUAUUUCUAGUGGUCAUAAAAUAAAAUCAAUUUGAAGAUCAGUCAAAUAUGUGCAAAAAUAGCAAAAAGCAUGAAGUAAAAGAUAUGGUAUAUAAUAAUAUAGUGCAUAUCAAAGUCAACUGGAAAGUUGAAUUCACUUAUUUAUAACAUUUAUAUAGGGAUAUUUUACCUAGUGGGCUUUUCUAAAAUAACAUGUGUCUUUCUAACUGAUAAUUAGUCAAUUUUAUUGAUAAAAAUUUAAUAAAUUAGUUGUAACCCAGUUUCAAUUGCUGAAACACUGCUCUUAAAUACAAUCGCAUAGGGUCAAAUAUAGUAUAGUUAAUGUAGUAAAGAGAUACAGAAAGUCACUGAAUAUUUGGCCGAGUGAAAAAUUUCAGAAGCCAUUGACUUAAAUUCAGAAUCGAACAAAUUUAAUGCUGUGCCUGAAUAUACUGAUCUAAUGUCAACUCAGGACUGCACAAUUCUAUUUUUCUUUGCAAUAAUUUUCUGAAAACAAAAUCUAGAAACUUUCUGGUAGUUUUGUAGUAUGAUCUCACUUGAAAGCCAAAGAAUUUUAUUUCCACUUUAUAAAAAUUGACAAUGUAAAUCUGAACCAGUUAUAUAGCUUUAAUCAUUCAAUUUCACAUACUAUAAAUUCUGAUCUUUGGAUGCUAAUAUGUGUAGAUGUGUGUAUUUGUAGACACAGUAAUAUGAUAGACAAUAGAGUUUAAAACAAGCAUAUAUGUUUCCAUAAUUUUAGUGAUCAUUAAGAAGUAAUUAGGGGACUUCAGAAAGAUCAUAUUAAUCAAAAUCCUCUAAUAUUACUUUCCCUUUAAUGUGAAUAAAAUGUAUUAAAUGUCCACUGUGUUCCCAAUUUUUUUUGUCACCAGUAAAUAUGCUCUGUUAUUGAGUUCCUGUUGUGGUUCAGUGGUUAAUGAAUCCGACUGGGAACCAUGAGGUUGUGGGUUCAAUCCCUGGCCUUGCUCAUGGGUUAAGGAUCCUGCUUUGCCAUGAGCUGUGGUCUAGGUUGCAGAUGCAGCUCGGAUCCUGUGUUGUUGUAACUCUGGCGUAGGCCAGUGGCUACAGCUCUGAUUAGACCCCUAUCAUGGAAAUCUCCAUAUGCCAUGGGAGAGGCCCUAGAAAAGGCAAAAAGCCAAAAAAAAAAAAAAA
RNAcentral lists this long non-coding RNA (6211 nucleotides) under Sus scrofa (pig). Its description in RNAcentral is "lncRNA (ENSSSCG00025015511.1)". The record is from RNAcentral. Lineage: Eukaryota; Metazoa; Chordata; Mammalia; Artiodactyla; Suidae.